Small nuclear RNA from Otolemur garnettii (small-eared galago), 109 nucleotides. Lineage: Eukaryota; Metazoa; Chordata; Mammalia; Primates; Galagidae. The record is from Ensembl.
GCUUACUUCAGUAUAUUUAACAUAUACUAAAAUUGGAACAACACAGAGAAGAUUGGAACAGGCCCUGCACAAGGAAGACAGGUAAAUUCAUGAAGCAUUCCACAUUUAA